This 468-nucleotide ribosomal RNA is filed under the name uncultured bacterium. Its description in RNAcentral is "partial 16S ribosomal RNA". It matches the Rfam family "Bacterial small subunit ribosomal RNA", at positions 28 to 507 of the family's 1533-position model. The record is from RNAcentral.
GACGAACGCUGGCGGCGUGCUUAACACAUGCAAGUCGAACGGAAAGGCCCUGCUUUUGUGGGGUGCUCGAGUGGCGAACGGGUGAGUAACACGUGAGUAACCUGCCCUUGACUUUGGGAUAACUUCAGGAAACUGGGGCUAAUACCGGAUAGGAGCUCCUGCUGCAUGGUGGGGGUUGGAAAGUUUCGGCGGUUGGGGAUGGACUCGCGGCUUAUCAGCUUGUUGGGUGGGUAGUGGAUUACCAAGGCCUUGAGCGGUAGCCGGCCUGGGAGGGUGACCGGCCACAUUGGGACUGAGAUGCGGCACAGACUACUACGGGAGGCAGCGGUGCGGAAUAGUGCACAAGGGGCUGAAGCCUGAUGCAGCAACGCAGCGUGCGGUAUGACGGCCUUCGGGUUGUGUACCGCUGUCGCCUGUGACGAAGCGUGAGUGACGGUAAUGGGUAAAGAAGCACCGGCUAACUACGUG